AGAAUAAUCACUGCAUUGUACUUUAGGAGAUGACAAAGAUAUAGCAUUAAAAUAACCAUACAGAACUCUAAGUAAAUCCUUGGAGCACAAAAAUAUUAGUGCUCCCGCCCAAAAAGAAUGUUCAGUAUGUUACUUUGUUUUGUGUUGUUUUUGAGGUACUGGGGCCGAGAAUUGAACCCAGGACCUCAUAAGUGGGAAGACAGCACUCAACCACUGAGCCUUAUCAGCUUCCCUGAGUUGGUUUUAUCAUUUGUUUUGCCUGUUGCUUGUUGAUUUUUUUUUCAGGAGUCACUGAGAAUCACACUUGGAACUUCCCAUGUGGGAAGCAGGUACUCAAUUGCUUGAGCCACAUCUGCUCUGUCUGGUAUGUUACAUUUGCUCAAAGUAUGAGGAGGUAUUUAAUUCCAGUCUGGUGAUUGAAAUGGACUCUGUGAUGCACUGCUCAGAUCCCUGUUCAGGACUGAAGGACUUACUCCCACAGUGGUGAAGAGUGAUGCUUCCGCGCUAGGAACUUCCUCAGCUGGAGGUAAUUGAGUCACCCAAAGUCAUAUUCUCUCCCAGCCCACAUCUUGUGGCUAGUUAAUUCAGG
RNAcentral lists this long non-coding RNA (589 nucleotides) under Dasypus novemcinctus (nine-banded armadillo). Its description in RNAcentral is "lncRNA (ENSDNOG00000050307.1)". The record is from RNAcentral. Lineage: Eukaryota; Metazoa; Chordata; Mammalia; Cingulata; Dasypodidae.